UGUAAUGAUGAAUUAAUAGACUAGAGUCUCUGAUGUACAACAUGAAGCUCUUUCACAGUGCACUGAACA
Small nucleolar RNA from Megalops cyprinoides (Indo-Pacific tarpon), 69 nucleotides. RefSeq annotates it as small nucleolar RNA SNORD52. Lineage: Eukaryota; Metazoa; Chordata; Actinopteri; Elopiformes; Megalopidae. The transcript has a single exon. The record is from RefSeq and is a predicted model, not a curated record.